AUCAUUCAUAAUGAGUGUUUUAUGGCACUUUUUAAAUCCAUAUCCACCUUGUGUGCAAUGUCAGUCGAUCUUCUUCAUGGAGAUUGGCCAAACAUCAACUUAAUUUUUAACUCUUUGUCUGAAAAAUAUUAUGAAUAAACAAUUCAAAAUACAACUUUCAACAACGGAUCUCUUGGCUCUCGCAUCGAUGAAGAACGCAGCGAAAUGCGAUACGUAAUGUGAAUUGCAGAAUUCAGUGAAUCAUCGAAUCUUUGAACGCAUAUUGCGCUCUUUGGUAUUCCGAAGAGCAUGCUUGUUUGAGUAUCAGUAAACACCUCAAAGCUUUUGAUUUUUUUUGAAAGCCUUGGACUUGAGCGAUCCCAACACCAAUCUUUCAGAUCGGCGGCGGGUUGCUUGAAAUGCAGGUGCAGCUGGACAUUCUCCUGAGCUAAAAGCAUAUUUAUUUAGUCCCGUCAAACGGAUUAUUACUUUUGCUGCAGCUAAUAUAAAGGGAGUUUGACCGUAUUGGCUGACUGAUGCAGGAUUUCACAAGGGUCGGCAACGAUUCUUGUAAAACUCGAUCUCAAAUCAAGUAAGACUACCCGCUGAACUUAAGC
RNAcentral lists this ribosomal RNA (596 nucleotides) under Mucoromycotina sp. BEA-2010. RNAcentral describes it as "eukaryotic LSU rRNA". The stretch from base 153 to 306 matches the Rfam family "5.8S ribosomal RNA". Lineage: Eukaryota; Fungi; Mucoromycota. The record is from RNAcentral.